RNAcentral lists this long non-coding RNA (241 nucleotides) under Fukomys damarensis (Damara mole-rat). Its description in RNAcentral is "lncRNA (ENSFDAG00000023408.1)". The record is from RNAcentral. Lineage: Eukaryota; Metazoa; Chordata; Mammalia; Rodentia; Bathyergidae.
GCAGAAUCACUGAAGAAUAAGACCAAUGAAUGAGCUCACAAUUAAACCUCAAUAAGCCUAUAAGAAGAUCUGAAGGAUGGAAAAGCUGGAUUUUGGCCAAGGUAGUGAAAUUAGAACAUCUUCAAAGCUCAUGUUCCAUCCUCAGUGACUGAUCUGGCCCACAAAACAAUGUGCUUCAAAUGGGCUGGCAUCAUCCUGGGGCUUCCACAUCACAAGAACAAGACCGAUCUUCAUGUUAUUU